AUUGAACGCUGGCGGCAGGCCUAACACAUGCAAGUCGAGCGGAUGAGGGGAGCUUGCUCCUGGAUUCAGCGGCGGACGGGUGAGUAAUGCCUAGGAAUCUGCCUGGUAGUGGGGGAUAACGUCCGGAAACGGGCGCUAAUACCGCAUACGUCCUGAGGGAGAAAGUGGGGGAUCUUCGGACCUCACGCUAUCAGAUGAGCCUAGGUCGGAUUAGCUAGUUGGUGGGGUAAAGGCCUACCAAGGCGACGAUCCGUAACUGGUCUGAGAGGAUGAUCAGUCACACUGGAACUGAGACACGGUCCAGACUCCUACGGGAGGCAGCAGUGGGGAAUAUUGGACAGUGGGCGAAAGCCUGAUCCAGCCAUGCCGCGUGUGUGAAGAAGGUCUUCGGAUUGUAAAGCACUUUAAGUUGGGAGGAAGGGCAGUAAGUUAAUACCUUGCUGUUUGGACGUUACCAACAGAAUAAGCACCGGCUAACUUCGU
RNAcentral lists this ribosomal RNA (483 nucleotides) under uncultured bacterium. RNAcentral's name for it is "partial 16S ribosomal RNA". It matches the Rfam family "Bacterial small subunit ribosomal RNA", at positions 30 to 506 of the family's 1533-position model. The record is from RNAcentral.